This 263-nucleotide unclassified non-coding RNA is filed under the name Rhodiola chrysanthemifolia. Its description in RNAcentral is "partial internal trancribed spacer 1". The record is from RNAcentral. Lineage: Eukaryota; Viridiplantae; Streptophyta; Magnoliopsida; Saxifragales; Crassulaceae.
CAAGGUUUCCGUAGGUGAACCUGCGGAAGGAUCAUUGUCGAAGCCUAGAAAGCAUGACCGUGGACAAGUUGUUAAUCGUGGAUGCACUUGGAUCCUUCGGGAACUCCAUUUGCCUUCCCCUCGGUCGGUUAUGAGCCUUGCGCCCAUUGCUGAUCGAAACGAAUGAACCCCGGCGCGGAUCGCGCCAAGGAAUCGAAACUGAAAGAGCUUGGCUCGGUGGCUCGUUCUCGGGCUGCCAGGGCCAUAGGUCUAUUCAAAACACC